RNAcentral lists this ribosomal RNA (497 nucleotides) under uncultured bacterium. Its description in RNAcentral is "partial 16S ribosomal RNA". It matches the Rfam family "Bacterial small subunit ribosomal RNA", at positions 28 to 507 of the family's 1533-position model. The record is from RNAcentral.
GAUGAACGCUGGCGGCGUGCCUAAUACAUGCAAGUCGAGCGAACGGACGAGAAGCUUGCUUCUCUGAUGUUAGUGGCGGACGGGUGAGUAACACGUGGAUAACCUACCUAUAAGACUGGGAUAACUUCGGGAAACCGGAGCUAAUACCGGAUAAUAUUUUGAACCGCAUGGUUCAAAAGUGAAAGACGGUCUUGCUGUCACUUAUAGAUGGAUCCGCGCUGCAUUAGCUAGUUGGUAAGGUAACGGCUUACCAAGGCAACGAUGCAUAGCCUACCUGAGAGGGUGAUCGGCCACACUGGAACCGAGACACGGUCCAGACUCCUACGGGAGGCAGCAGUAGGGAAUCUUCCGCAAUGGGCGAAAGCCUGACGGAGCAACGCCGCGUGAGUGAUGAAGGUCUUCGGAUCGUAAAACUCUGUUAUUAGGGAAGAACAUAUGUGUAAGUAACUGUGCACAUCUUGACGGUACCUAAUCAGAAAGCCACGGCUAACUACGUG